Non-coding RNA from Pelobates cultripes (western spadefoot toad), 260 nucleotides. The record is from the annotation of a GenBank genome assembly. NCBI's taxonomy places the organism in Eukaryota, Metazoa, Chordata, Amphibia, Anura, Pelobatidae.
GGGGUAGUGACAGGGGAUAGGGGGGGCAGAAGGACAGUGGCAGGAGUUAGGGGGCGGAGGGGCAGUCACAGGGUGGGGGUGGAGGGGCAGUGCCCCUCCACCCCCUUCUACCCCAUCACUCACUGCCCCUCCACCCCUUGUCACUCACUGCCCCUCCACCCCCCUUCUACCCCACAUCACUCACUGCCCCUCCACUCCUGUUCUACCCCUGUCACUCACUGCCCCUCCACCCCCCUUCUACCUCUGUCACUUACUGCCCC